AGACCUUGCGUAACCGGGAUAUUGCCAAAUAGCUGCAGCUCCACAGAUCUGUAAUUUAUGCCUAUUCUCAUCCAAGAUGUCUGUUUUGAGAGUUCAUUGGACUUGAGGUCAGGCCUGCUGCAAAUUUGAUGACUUGAAGAGAAUGAAUUUGGUGGAAAGAAACGCGUGCAAAUACUGCAUUUACUGAUUGCUGUUUUACUAAUGCAGUCUUGACUAAUACAGCAGGAGGAAGCUGAAUCCCCACUGAUGAGACCAGACUGCUGUGGAUGGCAGCUCUCUGGACUUAAGAGCAAAAGUUUGAAAGAAUUUCUUGUCUGGACGUUGAAAAUAACAUUUGGAUCUGGGCUUCUUUCUGGUGACCCAGGCUGCUUUUUCCCCCAGAUAUACUGCACUUAUGUGGCUGUCAGUAGAAGCUUGAUGGUUGCUAGUAAUACAGUUCAGAAUUUGUCACGGCUGGCAAAACAUGGAGGAGAGCUGAGCAGAGAGUUUUUACCUGCGGAGAAGGGACCACUCAAGCAUCAUCCUCAUGGAUGGAAAUGUUCCAGUUCUGGCUUGAUGGGAGGAAAAGUGUGCAUCCAGCCUAUCAAACUGAGAAUGCUGAAUUGUUCUGCAUUUCAAAAUAGAGAGCUGACUUUGGAUAAUUGGUGUCUCAGUCAUUAGGCCAGGAAGUGUCGUCAUCCUGCUG
RNAcentral lists this long non-coding RNA (685 nucleotides) under Phasianus colchicus (ring-necked pheasant). RNAcentral describes it as "lncRNA (ENSPCLG00000021989.1)". The record is from RNAcentral. Lineage: Eukaryota; Metazoa; Chordata; Aves; Galliformes; Phasianidae.